RNAcentral lists this long non-coding RNA (247 nucleotides) under Mytilus galloprovincialis (Mediterranean mussel). The record is from RNAcentral. Lineage: Eukaryota; Metazoa; Mollusca; Bivalvia; Mytilida; Mytilidae.
CAAUUUUGUACUUGUUUGGCUUUAUAAAUAUUUUGAUAUGAGCGUCACUGAUGAGUCUUAUGUAAAGGAAACGCGUGUCUGGCGUACUAAAUUAUAAUUCUGGUACUUUUGAUAACUAAUUUAAUAUAUCCAAUAAACCACACAGUAUAUUACAUACUGUGGUUUCAUUUAUAUUUAUUGUUAACCAAAUUGGUUAAAAAGGUUAUAUUUCAUGAAACUAUUUUACUAAAGUAAUCGAAAUGUAAUC